This 253-nucleotide ribosomal RNA is filed under the name uncultured bacterium. RNAcentral describes it as "partial 16S ribosomal RNA". It matches the Rfam family "Bacterial small subunit ribosomal RNA", at positions 524 to 776 of the family's 1533-position model. The record is from RNAcentral.
UACGUAGGGGGCGAGCGUUGUUCGGAUUCAUUGGGCGUAAAGGGUGCGUAGGCGGCGCGGUAAGUCGGGUGUGAAAUCUCGGGGCUUAACUCCGAAACUGCAUUCGAUACUGCCGUGCUUGAGGACUGGAGAGGAGACUGGAAUUUACGGUGUAGCGGUGAAAUGCGUAGAUAUCGUAAGGAAGACCAGUGGCGAAGGCGGGUCUCUGGACAGUUCCUGACGCUGAGGCACGAAGGCCAGGGGAGCAAACGGG